CGGGACACGUGGUAUCCUGUCUGAAUAUGGGGGGACCAUCCUCCAAGGCUAAAUACUCCUGACUGACCGAUAGUGAACCAGUACCGUGAGGGAAAGGCGAAAAGAACCCCGGCGAGGGGAGUGAAAAAGAACCUGAAACCGUGUACGUACAAGCAGUGGGAGCACGCUUAGGCGUGUGACUGCGUACCUUUUGUAUAAUGGGUCAGCGACUUAUAUUCUGUAGCAAGGUUAACCGAAUAGGGGAGCCGAAGGGAAACCGAGUCUUAACUGGGCGUUAAGUUGCAGGGUAUAGACCCGAAACCCGGUGAUCUAGCCAUGGGCAGGUUGAAGGUUGGGUAACACUAACUGGAGGACCGAACCGACUAAUGUUGAAAAAUUAGCGGAUGACUUGUGGCUGGGGGUGAAAGGCCAAUCAAACCGGGAGAUAGCUGGUUCUCCCCGAAAGCUAUUUAGGUAGCGCCUCGUGAAUUCAUCUCCGGGGGUAGAGCACUGUUUCGGCAAGGGGGUCAUCCCGACUUACCAACCCGAUGCAAACUGCGAAUACCGGAGAAUGUUAUCACGGGAGACACACGGCGGGUGCUAACGUCCGUCGUGAAGAGGGAAACAACCCAGACCGCCAGCUAAGGUCCCAAAGUCAUGGUUAAGUGGGAAACGAUGUGGGAAGGCCCAGACAGCCAGGAUGUUGGCUUAGAAGCAGCCAUCAUUUAAAGAAAGCGUAAUAGCUCACUGGUCGAGUCGGCCUGCGCGGAAGAUGUAACGGGGCUAAACCAUGCACCGAAGCUGCGGCAGCGACGCUUAUGCGUUGUUGGGUAGGGGAGCGUUCUGUAAGCCUGUGAAGGUGUACUGUGAGG
Molecule: ribosomal RNA, 851 nt
Filed under: Escherichia coli
Lineage: Bacteria; Pseudomonadati; Pseudomonadota; Gammaproteobacteria; Enterobacterales; Enterobacteriaceae
Also listed under: 1 other name
Description: bacterial LSU rRNA
Rfam family: Bacterial large subunit ribosomal RNA
Source: RNAcentral